Molecule: non-coding RNA, 30 nt
Filed under: Mus musculus (house mouse)
Lineage: Eukaryota; Metazoa; Chordata; Mammalia; Rodentia; Muridae
Source: RNAcentral
UGGAUACAGAAACUCUGUGUUCAAAGUCCA